AGCGGCGAACGGGUGAGUAACACGUAGGUGAUCUGCCCAUCAGACGGGGACAACGAUUGGAAACGAUCGCUAAUACCGGAUAGGACGAAAGUUUAAAGGUGCUUCUGGCACCGCUGAUGGAUGAGCCUGCGGCGCAUUAGCUAGUUGGUAGGGUAAAGGCCUACCAAGGCGACGAUGCGUAGCCGACCUGAGAGGGUGAACGGCCACACUGGGACUGAGACACGGCCCAGACUCCUACGGGAGGCAGCAGUAGGGAAUCUUCGGCAAUGGGCGAAAGCCUGACCGAGCAACGCCGCGUGAAUGAUGAAGGCCUUCGGGUUGUAAAAUUCUGUUAUAAGGGAAGAACGACUUUAGUAGGAAAUGGCUAGAGUGUGACGGUACCUUAUGAGAAAGCCACGGCUAACUACGUGCCAGCAGCCGCGGUAAUACGUAGGUGGCGAGCGUUAUCCGGAAUUAUUGGGCGUAAAGAGCGCGCAGGUGGUUGAUUAAGUCUGAUGUGAAAGCCCACGGCUUAACCGUGGAGGGUCAUUGGAAACUGGUCGACUUGAGUGCAGAAGAGGGAAGUGGAAUUCCAUGUGUAGCGGUGAAAUGCGUAGAGAUAUGGAGGAACACCAGUGGCGAAGGCGGCCUCCUGGUCUGUAACUGACACUGAGGCGCGAAAGCGUGGGGAGCAAACAGGAUUAGAUACCCUGGUAGUCCACGCCGUAAACGAUGAGUGCUAAGUGU
RNAcentral lists this ribosomal RNA (726 nucleotides) under uncultured bacterium. RNAcentral describes it as "bacterial SSU rRNA". It matches the Rfam family "Bacterial small subunit ribosomal RNA", at positions 94 to 823 of the family's 1533-position model. The record is from RNAcentral.